Molecule: ribosomal RNA, 229 nt
Filed under: uncultured bacterium
Lineage: Bacteria
Description: partial 16S ribosomal RNA
Rfam family: Bacterial small subunit ribosomal RNA
Source: RNAcentral
AGUAACACGUAGGUGAUCUAUCAUUGGGUCUGGGAUAGCCUGUGGAAACACAGGGUAAUACCGGAUACGACCUUUAGAUUGAGGUCUAGAGGGGAAAGUCGCUUAGGCGACGCCCUAUGCUGAGCCUGCGGCUGAUUAGCUAGUUGGUAGGGUAACGGCCUACCAAGGCGACGAUGAGUAGCCGGCCUGAGAGGGUGAUCGGCCACACUGGGACUGAGACACGGCCCAG